This is a non-coding RNA of Cucurbita pepo subsp. pepo (vegetable marrow), 551 nucleotides long. NCBI's taxonomy places the organism in Eukaryota, Viridiplantae, Streptophyta, Magnoliopsida, Cucurbitales, Cucurbitaceae. The record is from RefSeq and is a predicted model, not a curated record.
CUUGUUCAUUGUUGUAACCAGGGAGCGGUUCCACAAAUUCUAGCGAAAACCAGCGACGAAUUUGUUUCAGGUCUUCUUGAUUCACUGAAAACAAAUGCAGAUAUUUUAUAUGAAAAGAUCAACAAGAUCCCUUGUUUCACUUGCCCAAACAAACCAGAAGGAUCAAUGCUUGCAAUGGUGAAGCUGAAUCUAGAACAACUUGAAGGGAUCCGCGACGACGUAGAGUUCUGCAGCAAGGUGGCGAGGGAAGAAUCUGUGGUGAUUCUCCCAGGUGUUGCCGUUGGGUUGAAGAAUUGGCUGCGCUUCAGCUUUGGGAUGGAGCGUUGCGCCAUUGAAGAUGGCGUGGCAAGGUUGGAAAGCUUCUACCAAAGGCAUAAGCUCCAUUAGACACAGAAUGGCGUGACGUACCUAUGUCGAAAGUUUCAAGAUAAAAAUCUCAUGCUCUCUCAAUCGUUACUGAAAAUCUCUUGUUUUCAAGCUCAGACAUGUUAAAUGGUGAAUGUUUUUUUUUUUGGUGUUGUUUUAGUUUUCAACUAAUUUGUUCAUAGAAA